Molecule: RNA transcript, 1205 nt
Organism: Fundulus heteroclitus (mummichog)
Lineage: Eukaryota; Metazoa; Chordata; Actinopteri; Cyprinodontiformes; Fundulidae
Gene: pln1
Gene name: phospholamban
Exons: 3
Source: RefSeq, a predicted model, not a curated record
CUCUCUGCUCCUCCGGUCUCUUUCUCACAGCGUUUUCAGCUUUGGUGAGCGCUGCAUAUCUGACAUUACUGUCUCCAGCUCCAAGCAGCUCCGCUCUCAUCUGCAAGCUAAAGAGAGACGGCGGAACCAGAGGACAAGAGGAAGCGCAGCGUGCCGUUCGCAGCUCCAUCCAGCAUCACCGGGCGCAGCAGCCUGGCUGAACCGCCUCAGCCCCCAAUCCGCAGAGACCCGCAGCCGCACCGCCCCGCCGCCCUCAUGGAGCGCGUCCAGCACAUGACCAAGUCGGCCAUCCGUCGAGCGUCUCAGAUCGAGGUGAACCCCCAGGCCAAGAGGAACCUGCAGGAGCUCUUUGUCAACUUCACGCUCAUCCUCAUCUGCCUGCUUCUCAUUUACAUCAUCGUCCUGCUGAGCAGCUGAAGGGACAUAUGCCGAGUCCGCCGGAGCUCAAGAGCCGGAAAACGGAGCUUUUCUGACAAAGAUCAGAUUUAUUUUUUUUUAAAUUAGUCAUUAUAUUUUUGCUUCUUUUAUUUAAUCCAAAGCAACCCGACUGCAACAGUUCAACUACUUUCAUCCAGUAUGUCUGUAUGCACCGCAUUAUUCUGAUUACACUGUUCAAAAGCAAUAUUAAACACCGUGCACAUGCAAUGGAAAACAACAAUAUAUCUCUGAGGUGUACUUCCUGUUGCCACCGUCACAGGCAUGAACUUUUGUCUUUAGGUUUGCAUUGACUGAGACAUAACCUUCACAGCUAAAAAGAACAACCCUACACCAAGCGGUGUCCUUUAACGCUCCAGUCUAGUGCAUAUGCCCUUAAGCUUCCUUAAAACUCCCAGAAGUCUACUUCUGGUUGAAAUAUUUAUAUCACAUUUUACUUUUAAAGGCCAGAAUAUUUAUUUAAAUCUGCAGUUUUUAUUUGAAAAAAAAAAAAAUACUGAAAUAAUUUCCAUGAAAUACAUUGCAAUGAACAUGGGUCAAUGACUGGCAGCAACAUUGGUGUUGAUGCCCCCAGUGCCAGUUUGAAAGUAAACUGAGAUCUAUAAAACAAAUAGAGAAAUUUAUAAAAAAAUUAUUUUCCCAAAAACUGCAGUACAUUUUUAUAUAUAUUAUGCUUUAUAGGAGAAAAGUUCCAAAAUAUUUACGUAUAUAAUAUUAAUUAAGCCUUUUAUGGCCAGUAUGUUCACAUAGUACCUGCACCGUUUUUUUUU